RNAcentral lists this non-coding RNA (21 nucleotides) under Caenorhabditis elegans. The record is from RNAcentral. Lineage: Eukaryota; Metazoa; Nematoda; Chromadorea; Rhabditida; Rhabditidae.
UGACAAUAAUAUUCGUCUGAU